Molecule: ribosomal RNA, 464 nt
Filed under: Treponema denticola
Lineage: Bacteria; Pseudomonadati; Spirochaetota; Spirochaetia; Treponematales; Treponemataceae
Description: bacterial SSU rRNA
Rfam family: Bacterial small subunit ribosomal RNA
Source: RNAcentral
GAGUUUGAUCAUGGCUCAGAACGAACGCUGGCGGCGCGUCUUAAGCAUGCAAGUCGAACGGUAAGGGAGAGCUUGCUCUCCCCUAGAGUGGCGGACUGGUGAGUAACGCGUGGGUGACCUGCCCUGAAGAUGGGGAUAGCUAGUAGAAAUAUUAGAUAAUACCGAAUGUGCUCAUUUACAUAAAGGUAAAUGAGGAAAGGAGCUACGGCUCCGCUUCAGGAUGGGCCCGCGUCCCAUUAGCUAGUUGGUGAGGUAAAGGCCCACCAAGGCAACGAUGGGUAUCCGGCCUGAGAGGGUGAACGGACACAUUGGGACUGAGAUACGGCCCAAACUCCUACGGGAGGCAGCAGCUAAGAAUCUUCCGCAAUGGACGAAAGUCUGACGGAGCGACGUCGUGUGAAUGAAGAGGGCCGAAAGGUUGUAAAAUUCUUUUGCAGAUGAAGAAUAACCACAGGAGGGAAUGC